Molecule: long non-coding RNA, 528 nt
Organism: Ornithodoros turicata
Lineage: Eukaryota; Metazoa; Arthropoda; Arachnida; Ixodida; Argasidae
Exons: 3
Source: RefSeq, a predicted model, not a curated record
GACAGAACCUGCGGAGCUUCCACGACGUUAUCUUGGAUUUCUGCAUUCCUGAGUUCCCGUUCGCAGUCUGUCUUCGCCAAUAACGUACUCUCAGAUGCCCACCCAGUCUCUUACGGUGUACCACAGGUCAAACAUACGUCUCUUUGCCGAUGACUGUGUCCUUUAUCGCUGCAUCUCCUCUCCCGACGACCAUCUCAUCCUUCAAGAUGACCUCACCGUCAUCGAUCACUGGUGCAGACCGGCGAGAAGAGGGAGCAGUCGGGGAUGGAGGCUCGGUGCUCGGGCCUCUUCAGGGAACCGUCCGACCCAAGGCACGACGGCUGCUAGCACCAGGAACUAAGCCAAUACAUGCGGUUCCCUGUGACUUGAUGGACGCACGUAAUCACAUAAACAAGAAAUACUUAGGCAGUGUUAUCGAGACGUGAGGAGGAGGACCCGGGCAGGACUCGUCCCUGGGGCCUGUAAUUUCUCACACUAGCCCUGGACGCAAGUGUAGGCACUAACUUUCGUGUUUUCUUUGAGUGUAUU